CGAGCGGCGACGGAUGGAGUAAUGCAUACGUAUCUGCCCGGCCGUGAGGGAUGGCCUAACUCAAACCCAAGCGUAGUACAGCAUACGUCCUACUUUAGAAAGGCAUCUCCCGCUCCCGCUAUUCGAUUACCCUAGGUCCUAUUAGCUAGUUCCUCAUCUAAUUACUCACCUAGGCAACUAUCCGUACCUCGUCUCAAAGAAUCAUCACCCACCUCAGAACUUAAACACCCCCCCAACUCCUACGACACGCACCAGUCUCCAAUAUUAGACAAUAGUAGCAACCCUUAUCCAACCAUCCCACGUCUGUCAAAAAAGCCCUCCGUUUGUAAAGCACUUUCUCCGAUCAAAAACCCCUAUCGGUUAAUACCCAUUAGUAAAAACAUCACUCGCAGAAAAAUCACCGGCUAACUCCCUGCCAGCAGCCGCUAUAAUACUGACGGUGCAAGCGUUAAUCCCAAUUACUCACCCUAUAUCCCGCGUACUUGGCUUUAUAACCCGCUUAUCAAAGCCCCUAUCUCAACCUUGCAACGGCAUCCGUAACUCUCAGGCUAGAGUACAAUAGAGUAAAAUAUAAUUCCCGGUGUAGCGGUCACAUUCCUACAGAUCACGAUCAAUACCGGUGGGGAAG
The sequence is a ribosomal RNA, 628 nucleotides long. It matches the Rfam family "Bacterial small subunit ribosomal RNA", at positions 92 to 720 of the family's 1533-position model.